GGGAAGGUACCUGGCCGUAGAUGUCUGGGACAGGACAGGUAUGUGUUGAGGGAAGGUACCUGGCCGUAGAUGUCUGGGACAGGUAUGUGUUGAGGGAAGGUACCUGGCCGUAGAUGUCUGGGGACAGGUAUGUGUUGAGGGAAGGUACCUGGCCGUAGAUGUCUGGGACAGGACAGGUAUGUGUUGAGGGAAGGUACCUGGCCGUAGAUGUCUGGGACAGGUGUGUGUUGAGGGAAGGUACCUGGCCGUAGAUGUCUGGGACAGGACAGGUAUGUGUUGAGGGAAGGUACCUGGCCGUAGAUGUCUGGGACAGGUGUGUGUUGAGGGAAGGUACCUGGCCGUAGAUGUCUGGGACAGGUGUGUGUUGAUCCUGCAGCAGCACCUCAGAGAGGCACACAGAGUCUCUGCAGGCGUACAGGGCUUUGUGAUGGGCUUUUAGAACGUUUUGAGGACCUGAGGGCUCAUGCCAGAUCUUUUCAGCCUCCUGAGGGGGAGAUGGUGCUGUUGUGCCCUCUUCACAGCUGUGUUGGGUGUGGGCCAUGUGGGGGAGACGGGUGAACGGGGCAUUCUCAGUCAGAGCUGCUUCUCGUCUAAAGAAUGAAUGUCUGUCAUGGGAGAGAGGAGGAG
Long non-coding RNA from Oncorhynchus tshawytscha (Chinook salmon), 627 nucleotides. RefSeq lists it as uncharacterized. Lineage: Eukaryota; Metazoa; Chordata; Actinopteri; Salmoniformes; Salmonidae. The transcript is spliced from 3 exons. The record is from RefSeq and is a predicted model, not a curated record.